GAGUUUGAUUCUGGCUCAGGAUGAACGCACAAGACGUGCCUAACACAUGCAAAUCGAAUGAAAACAAUUUAAUUAAAUUGUUUUCAUGGUGAACGGGUGAGUAACACAUAAGAAUCAGCUUUUAGAUAAGGCAUAAAAGAGUAAUAUCUUGGUAAUUCCUUAUAUGCGCAGCAGUGCUUAAAAAGGGGACUCCCGUCUAAAAACGAGCUUAUGCCUGAUUAGCUAGUUGGCGAGUUAAAAGCUCACCAAGGCGAAGAUCAGUAGCUGGCCUGAGAGGGCGGCCAGCCACAUUGGGACUGAGACACGGCCCAAACUCCUACGGGAGGCAGCAGUGGGGAAUCUUCUGCAAUGGGCGCAAGCCUGACAGAGCGGCGUCAUGUGAAGGAAGAAGGCCUGAAAUAGGUUGUAAACUUCUUUUACUGAGUAAUGAAUACUGACAACGCAGUAAAAAAGUAUCGGCUAACUCCGUGCCAGCAGCCGCGGUAAUACGGGGGAUGCAAGCGUUAUCCGGAAUCACUGGGCGUAAAGCGUCUGUAGGUGGUUUAGUGUGUUCUUAGUUAAAUUAUGAAGCCUAACUUCAUGAAAAGUAAGAAAACUAUUAGACUUGAGUACGAUAGGGGUAAGAGGAAUUCUUCGAGAAGUAGUGAAAUGCGAAGAUACGAAGGAGAAGAUCAUAAGCGAAGGCUUCUUACUGGGUCGUAACUGACACUGAGAGACGAAAGCUAGGGGAGCGAAUGGGAUUAGAUACCCCAGUAGUCCUAGCUGUAAACGAUGGAUAUUCGGUGCCGGAUUUUAUUAGAACAUUUCGGUACCCUAGCUAACGCGUUAAAUAUCCCGCCUGAGGAGUACGCUCGCAAGGGUGAAACUCAAAGGAAUUGACGGGGGCUCGCACAAGCGGUGGAGCAUGUGGUUUAAUUCGAUGCAAAGCGAAGAACCUUACCAGGGCUUGACAGUAUGUAUAAAAGUCUUAACGGACU
Molecule: ribosomal RNA, 977 nt
Filed under: uncultured candidate division CAB-I bacterium
Lineage: Bacteria
Description: bacterial SSU rRNA
Rfam family: Bacterial small subunit ribosomal RNA
Source: RNAcentral